GAUGAACGCUGGCGGCGUGCCUAAUACAUGCAAGUCGAGCGAACGGACGAGAAGCUUGCUUUUCUGAUGUUAGCGGCGGACGGGUGAGUAACACGUGGAUAACCUACCUAUAAGACUGGGAUAACUUCGGGAAGCCGGAGCUAAUACCGGAUAAUAUUUUGAACCGCAUGGUUCAAAAGUGAAAGACGGUCUUGCUGUCACUUAUAGAUGGAUCCGCGCUGCAUUAGCUAGUUGGUAAGGUAACGGCUUACCAAGGCAACGAUGCAUAGCCGACCUGAGAGGGUGAUCGGCCACACUGGAACUGAGACACGGUCCAGACUCCUACGGGAGGCAGCAGUAGGGAAUCUUCCGCAAUGGGCGAAAGCCUGACGGAGCAACGCCGCGUGAGUGAUGAAGGUCUUCGGAUCGUAAAACUCUGUUAUUAGGGAAGAACAUAUGUGUAAGUAACUGUGCACAUCUUGACGGUACCUAAUCAGAAAGCCACGGCUAACUACG
This 495-nucleotide ribosomal RNA is filed under the name uncultured bacterium. RNAcentral describes it as "partial 16S ribosomal RNA". It matches the Rfam family "Bacterial small subunit ribosomal RNA", at positions 28 to 505 of the family's 1533-position model. The record is from RNAcentral.